This 456-nucleotide ribosomal RNA is filed under the name uncultured bacterium. RNAcentral describes it as "bacterial SSU rRNA". It matches the Rfam family "Bacterial small subunit ribosomal RNA", at positions 340 to 786 of the family's 1533-position model. The record is from RNAcentral.
UACGGGAGGCAGCAGUGGGGAAUAUUGCACAAUGGGCGCAAGCCUGAUGCAGCCAUGCCGCGUGUAUGAAAAAGGCCUUCGGGUUGUAAAGUACUUUCAGUCGUGAGGAAGGUGUUAAGGUUAAUAACCUUAGCAAUUGACGUUAGCGACAGAAGAAGCACCGGCUAACUCCGUGCCAGCAGCCGCGGUAAUACGGAGGGUGCGAGCGUUAAUCGGAAUUACUGGGCGUAAAGGGCACGCAGGCGGUUAAUUAAGUUGGAUGUGAAAUCCCCGGGCUUAACCUGGGAAUGGCAUUCAAGACUGGUUAGCUAGAGUCUUGUAGAGGGGGGUUAGAAUUCCAUGUGUAGCGGUGAAAUGCGUAGAGAUGUGGAGGAAUACCGGUGGCGAAGGCGGCCCCUGGACAAAGACUGACGCUCAUGUGCGAAAGCGUGGGGAGCAAACGAGGACUUAGAUACC